UCCCUCGUGGCGCAAUUGGCUAGCGCGUUUGACUGUUAUGGCCGCACGGUAUAGCCGAUCAGGAGGUUGGUGGUUCAAGCCCACCCGAGGGAG
This is a non-coding RNA of Recurvomyces mirabilis, 93 nucleotides long. NCBI's taxonomy places the organism in Eukaryota, Fungi, Ascomycota, Dothideomycetes, Mycosphaerellales, Teratosphaeriaceae. The record is from the annotation of a RefSeq genome assembly.